GGGGAAUCUUGCACAAUGGAGGAAACUCUGAUGCAGCGACGCCGCGUGAGUGAUGAAGCCCUUCGGGGUGUAAAGCUCUUUCGACCCGGAAGAUUAUGACGGUACGGGGAGAAGAAGCCCCGGCUAACUCCGUGCCAGCAGCCGCGGUAAUACGGGGGGGGCAAGCGUUGUUCGGAAUUACUGGGCGUAAAGGGCUCGUAGGCGGCCAACUAAGUCAGACGUGAAAUCCCUCGGCUUAACCGGGGAACUGCGUCUGAUACUGGAUGGCUUGAGUGUGGGAGAGGGAUGCGGAAUUCCAGGUGUAGCGGUGAAAUGCGUAGAUAUCUGGAGGAACACCGGUGGCGAAGGCGGCAUCCUGGACCAUUACUGACGCUGAAUAGCGAAAGCCAGGGGAGCAAAC
This 400-nucleotide ribosomal RNA is filed under the name uncultured bacterium. Its description in RNAcentral is "bacterial SSU rRNA". It matches the Rfam family "Bacterial small subunit ribosomal RNA", at positions 356 to 773 of the family's 1533-position model. The record is from RNAcentral.